GAAUAUUGCACAAUGGAGGAAACUCUGAUGCAGCGACGCCGCGUGAGGGAAGAAGGUCUUCGGAUUGUAAACCUCUGUCUUUGGGGAAGAUAAUGACGGUACCCACGGAGGAAGCCACGGCUAACUACGUGCCACCAGCCGCGGUAAUAUGUAGGUGGCAAGCGUUGUCCGGAAUUACUGGGUGUAAAGGGAGCGUAGGCGGGUGUUUAAGUUGAAUGUUUAAACUAUCGGCUCAACCGGUAGUCGCGUUCAAAACUGAGCAUCUUGAGUGAAGUAGAGGCAGGCGGAAUUCCUAGUGUAGCGGUGAAAUGCGUAGAUAUUAGGAGGAACACCAGUGGCGAAGGCGGCCUGCUGGGCUUUUACUGACGCUGAGGCUCGAAAGCAUGGGGAGCAAAC
RNAcentral lists this ribosomal RNA (396 nucleotides) under uncultured bacterium. Its description in RNAcentral is "bacterial SSU rRNA". It matches the Rfam family "Bacterial small subunit ribosomal RNA", at positions 359 to 773 of the family's 1533-position model. The record is from RNAcentral.